This 467-nucleotide ribosomal RNA is filed under the name uncultured bacterium. RNAcentral's name for it is "partial 16S ribosomal RNA". It matches the Rfam family "Bacterial small subunit ribosomal RNA", at positions 28 to 507 of the family's 1533-position model. The record is from RNAcentral.
GAUGAACGCUGGCGGCGUGCUUAACACAUGCAAGUCGAACGGAAAGGCCCAAGCUUGCUUGGGUACUCGAGUGGCGAACGGGUGAGUAACACGUGGGUGAUCUGCCCUGCACUUCGGGAUAAGCCUGGGAAACUGGGUCUAAUACCGGAUAGGACCACUUCUUGGAUGUUGUGGUGGAAAGUUUUUUCGGUGUGGGAUGAGCUCGCGGCCUAUCAGCUUGUUGGUGGGGUAAUGGCCUACCAAGGCGUCGACGGGUAGCCGGCCUGAGAGGGUGUACGGCCACAUUGGGACUGAGAUACGGCCCAGACUCCUACGGGAGGCAGCAGUGGGGAAUAUUGCACAAUGGGCGCAAGCCGGAUGCAGCGACGCCGCGUGGGGGAUGACGGCCUUCGGGUUGUAAACUCCUUUCGCUAGGGACGAAGCGUUUUGUGACGGUACCUGGAGAAGAAGCACCGGCUAACUACGUG